UGAGCAAUCUGCCCUUCUCUUCGGAAUAAGCGUGGGAAACCGCGUCUAAUGCCGAAUACGACCUCCUUUCGCAUGAUCGGAGGUGGAAAGCUCCGGCGGAGAAGGAUGAGCUCGCGGCCUAUCAGCUAGUUGGUGUGGGUAACGGCCCACCAAGGCGACGACGGGUAGCCGGCCUGAGAGGGUGACCGGCCACACUGGGACUGAGACACGGCCCAGACUCCUACGGGAGGCAGCAGG
Molecule: ribosomal RNA, 237 nt
Filed under: uncultured bacterium
Lineage: Bacteria
Description: partial 16S ribosomal RNA
Rfam family: Bacterial small subunit ribosomal RNA
Source: RNAcentral